GGGUUGUGAGGUUAAGCGACUAAGCGUACACGGUGGAUGCCCUGGCAGUCAGAGGCGAUGAAGGGCGUGCUAAUCUGCGAUAAGCGCCGGUAAGGUGAUAUGAACCGUUAUAACCGGCGAUACCCGAAUGGGGAAACCCAGUGUGACUCGUCACACUAUCAUUAACUGAAUCCAUAGGUUAAUGAGGCGAACCGGGGGAACUGAAACAUCUAAGUACCCCGAGGAAAAGAAAUCAACCGAGAUUC
Molecule: ribosomal RNA, 245 nt
Filed under: Salmonella enterica subsp. enterica serovar Paratyphi B
Lineage: Bacteria; Pseudomonadati; Pseudomonadota; Gammaproteobacteria; Enterobacterales; Enterobacteriaceae
Description: partial 23S ribosomal RNA
Rfam family: Bacterial large subunit ribosomal RNA
Source: RNAcentral